Drosophila mauritiana is the source of this 933-nucleotide long non-coding RNA. RefSeq lists it as uncharacterized. The transcript is spliced from 7 exons. The record is from RefSeq and is a predicted model, not a curated record. Lineage: Eukaryota; Metazoa; Arthropoda; Insecta; Diptera; Drosophilidae.
AAUUGCUUCUGAACAGUACAGUUUUAAGAAAAAAGUUUUGUUAUUUCAUAUUAGUUCUAAGUAUAAAGUGAAAUUACUUAUAUCGAAUCAUAGUGCACCAGAAUUCUUGAAGCACCAAAAACUGACUCGGCUCUUCCUUCUUUUUUCGUUUGUGGUAAGACUUAUAUGUGUAAUCGCCUACGCUGACAAUGGGCAAUAAGAAUGAACUCUUGCCCCGUAUUGAGAGGAUAUCUCUUUGGAAACUACACCAUACUUCGAUGAAACACACCAAACUGGCAAAGAAAGCCUUCCGAAAAUGCCAUGAUGACACCAUUACAUGUGUUCUUCUUGCAGGAGAUUACAUAAUAAAAUCAGAAACACUACCAGACUCAAAACCAUAUGAUAUACAUCAGUUCGCAGAAUAUAUGUGGAUAUAAAACUAAAACCGUUAUACAUAAGAAUAAUAUAAUAUUUUAAUACUAGUCAUGGAGAUAACUCUCUCUCCUCGUUCAGACACACCAUACCUGGAUCAAACACACCAAACUGGCCAAGCAGGAGACCUUCCCUAAAUGCCAUGAUGACACCAUUACAUGUGUUCUUCUUGCAGGAGAUUACAUAAUAAAAUCAGAAACUCUACCAGACUCAAAACCAUAUGAUAUACAUCAGUUCGCAGAAUAUAUGUGGAUAUAAAACUAAAACCGUUAUACAUAAGAAUAAUAUAAUAUUUUAAUACUAGUCAUGGAGAUAACUCUCUCUCCUCGUACAGACACACCAUACCUGGAUCAAACACACCAAACUGGCCAAGCAGGAGACCUUCCCUAAAUGACAUGAUGACACCAUUACAUGUGUAUGGGGAAUUACAUAUUAAAAACAAAUGCUCGAGUACACUGAACAUCAAAAUACAUUUGGAUAUAAUACUAAAAACUUUAAAUAUAAUAAAUUUACACUUUUACA